RNAcentral lists this ribosomal RNA (468 nucleotides) under uncultured bacterium. RNAcentral's name for it is "partial 16S ribosomal RNA". It matches the Rfam family "Bacterial small subunit ribosomal RNA", at positions 28 to 507 of the family's 1533-position model. The record is from RNAcentral.
GACGAACGCUGGCGGCGUGCUUAACACAUGCAAGUCGAACGGAAAGGCCCUGCUUUUGUGGGGUGCUCGAGUGGCGAACGGGUGAGUAACACGUGAGUAACCUGCCCUUGACUUUGGGAUAACUUCAGGAAACUGGGGCUAAUACCGGAUAGGAGCUCCUGCUGCAUGGUGGGGGUUGGAAAGUUUCGGCGGUUGGGGAUGGACUCGCGGCUUAUCAGCUUGUUGGUGGGGUAGUGGCUUACCAAGGCUUUGACGGGUAGCCGGCCUGAGAGGGUGACCGGCCAAAUUGGGACUGAGAUACGGCCCAGACUCCUACGGGAGGCAGCAGUGGGGAAUUAUGGACAAUGGGCGGAAGCCUGAUGCAGCAACGCCGCGUGCGGGAUGACGGCCUUCGGGUUGUAAACCGCUUUCGCCUGUGACGAAGCGUGAGUGACGGUAAUGGGUAAAGAAGCACCGGCUAACUACGUG